CCGGCAUCAGAACGUUCCAGGCAUUCCCGUGAUUGGCAGAUAUCAGGUUGAUUGGCAUGUCGGACCCCGCGAACACUGGGUACUGGUAAGUACAACACAACCAACUAAUAGCCUGAUACAUAACACACAGCUGUCUGUCUGGGUCGCUUCAAUAUUCAAUCAUUUCUGCCCACCGAAUUCAUAUUCGUUAUAAACUGUAAAAAAUGAACCACCGACAUAGUAAAUAUUGCAAAAGAAAAUCAAAUGAUUUUUACUAAAAAUAAAAGGUUUCUGCUUUUGAACACAUUUUCGACCGAAUCCAAGACGUCGUCUUGAUCUUUCUCCUCUGGAAAGGCCAUGUGGCAGGUGUAUCACUUCUAUCAUCCUUUAAAAACAAGAAAUGGGCAGUGACUGGGGGAUACCUAGUCAUUUUUUUCGUCAAACCUUCAAAUAGGUAUAUAGGUGUUCAGACGUUCCUGAGUACUGGACAGACCAUAUUUUCCAGAAUACAUUGACAAGGGAUCAAUCAGGCUGCAUUCAAGUACAAAUAUGUGACAACCACAACAUUGUGAGUGCCAAAAUGGCAAAGACCUUCUCAUAUCGAAGACAAGAUGUCGUUCAGGCCCUUCCUGUGAAGGACUUCAAAGAAUGAAUGGCCAGCCCUGUUUGAGCCCACUCAGGAAGCAAAUUUGGCAAAGAUUGGGUGUUCAUACCUCUGCCCUCUGUCUGAAGCAGUGUACUCGUUCCAGUUGGAUUUUGACGAUAGCUUGGCGUGUCAUCUGAAGCGCUGUAAGGAGGAACUCUGUAACUACAGAUUCAGGAACUUCUCCUUCUUUCUCUUGGAUACCUGAAAACGCCAAGGAGUGUGGAGAUGCAUCUCAGAUCUACCUGUCUGUCUCUCUCUUCUUCAACGGUCUCACUGCCUCCUUCACCUGUCUCAAGGCCUCCACGCUGGUUUUCUGAUGACA
Long non-coding RNA from Oncorhynchus keta (chum salmon), 947 nucleotides. RefSeq lists it as uncharacterized. NCBI's taxonomy places the organism in Eukaryota, Metazoa, Chordata, Actinopteri, Salmoniformes, Salmonidae. The record is from RefSeq and is a predicted model, not a curated record. The transcript is spliced from 7 exons.